This 253-nucleotide ribosomal RNA is filed under the name uncultured bacterium. RNAcentral describes it as "partial 16S ribosomal RNA". It matches the Rfam family "Bacterial small subunit ribosomal RNA", at positions 524 to 776 of the family's 1533-position model. The record is from RNAcentral.
UACAGAGGUCUCAAGCGUUGUUCGGAUUCAUUGGGCGUAAAGGGUGUGUAGGUGGCGCGCUAAGUCGGGGGUGAAAUUUCGGAGCUUAACUCCGAAACUGCAUUCGAUACUGGCGUGCUUGAGGACUGGAGAGGAGACUGGAAUUUACGGUGUAGCAGUGAAAUGCGUAGAUAUCAGGAGGAAUACCGAUGGCGAAGGCAGGUCUCUGGGCUGACACUGACGCUCAUGCACGAAAGCGUGGGGAGCAAACAGG